RNAcentral lists this ribosomal RNA (610 nucleotides) under Hansenula anomala. Its description in RNAcentral is "eukaryotic LSU rRNA". It matches the Rfam family "Eukaryotic large subunit ribosomal RNA", at positions 71 to 664 of the family's 3401-position model. The record is from RNAcentral. Lineage: Eukaryota; Fungi; Ascomycota; Saccharomycetes; Phaffomycetales; Wickerhamomycetaceae.
GGGAUUGCCUCAGUAACGGCGAGUGAAGCGGCAAAAGCUCAAAUUUGAAAUCUAGGCACCUUCGGUGCCCGAGUUGUAAUUUGAAGAUGGGUAACCUUUGGGUUUGGCUCUUGUCUAUGUUCCUUGGAACAGGACGUCAUAGAGGGUGAGAAUCCCGUCUGAUGAGAUGCCCAUUCCUAUGUAAGGUGCUAUCGAAGAGUCGAGUUGUUUGGGAAUGCAGCUCUAAGUGGGUGGUAAAUUCCAUCUAAAGCUAAAUAUUGGCGAGAGACCGAUAGCGAACAAGUACAGUGAUGGAAAGAUGAAAAGAACUUUGAAAAGAGAGUGAAAAAGUACGUGAAAUUGUUGAAAGGGAAGGGCAUUAGAUCAGACUUGGUGUUUUACGAUUAUCUUCUCUUCUUGAGUUGGGAACUCGUAUUUCACUGGGCCAGCAUCCAUUCUGAUGGCAAGAUAAUGGCAGUUGAAUGUGGCUUCGCUUCGGUGGAGUGUUAUACCUUCUGCUGAUAUUGCCUGUCUGGAUCGAGGGCUGCGUCUUUUGACUAGGAUGCUGGCGUAAUGAUCUAAUGCCGCCCGUCUUGAAACACGGACCUCCUGAGGAAGGGCUCAAAAUUAA